GCAUAACGCGAAGAACCUUACCAGGCCUUGACAUGCAGAGAACUUUCCAGAGAUGGAUUGGUGCCUUCGGGGAACUCUGACACAGGUGCUGCAUGGCUGUCGUCAGCUCGUGUCGUGAGAUGUUGGGUUAAGUCCCGUAACGAGCGCGAACCCUUGUCCUUAGUUACCAGCACGUCAUGGUGGGCACUCUAAGGAGACUGCCGGUGACAAACCGGAGGAAGGUGGGGAGUGACGUCAAGUCAUCAUGGCCCUUACGGCCUGGGCUACACACGUGCUACAAUGGUCGGUACAGAGGGUUGCCAAGCCGCGAGGUGGAGCUAAUCCCAGAAAACCGAUCGUAGUCCGGAUCGCAGUCUGC
Molecule: ribosomal RNA, 358 nt
Filed under: uncultured bacterium
Lineage: Bacteria
Description: bacterial SSU rRNA
Rfam family: Bacterial small subunit ribosomal RNA
Source: RNAcentral